CUGAUUGACCGAUAGUGAACAAGUACCGUGAGGGAAAGGUGAAAAGAACCCCGAAGGGGGAGUGAAAUAGACACUGAAACUGAAUACCUACAAGCUGUCAGAGCCGGUUUUCCGGUGAUGGCGUACCUUUUGUAUAAUGAGCCAACGAGUUAUUAUUGCAUGCAAGCCUAAGCCGCUAGGUGUAAGCGAAGGGAAACCGAGUCUGAAUAGGGCGAUUUGAGUAUGCAGUAAUAGACCCGAAGCGGGGUGAUCUAGGUAUGGGCAGGCUGAAGGCGGUGUAACAAUCGCUGGAGGGCCGAACGCACCAAUAUGGCAACAUUGGGCGAUGACCUGUGUCUAGGGGUGAAAAGCCAAUCGAACCCCGUUAUAGCUGGUUCUCCGCGAAAACUAUAGAGGUAGUGUCUCAAGUGUUCGUUGUUGGGGGUAAAGCACUGAAAUGGCUAGGGGGAGUAAAAUCUUACCAACCCAUAUCAAACUCUGAAUACCAACAAAUUAUAGCUUGGGAAACAGUCCAUCGGUGCUAAGGUCGGUGGACGAGAGGGCAACAGCCCAGACCGCCAACUAAGGUCCCAAAAUGAUGAUUAAGUGGGAAAGUGAGUCGAGAUUCCAAAACAACCAGGAUGUUGGCUUGGAAGCAGCCAUCGUUUAAAGAAAGCGUAAUAGCUCACUGGUCUAUUAGAGUUUCGGCAACGAAAAUGUAACGGGGCUAAAAUCAUCUACCGAAGUUGCGGGUGCGUCGUAAGACGUGCGGUAGCGGAGCAUUCUGUAAGCCUGUGAAGCCGAAGGUGUGAGCCACGGUGGAGGUAUCAGAAGCGCGAAUGUUGGCAUGAGUAGCAGCUAAUCAAGGUGAGAAACCUUGACGCCGUAAGAGCAAGGGUUCCUAUCCAAUGUUAAUCAGGGUAGGGUGAGUCGACCCCUAAGGCGAGGCCGAAAGGCGUAGUCGAUGGGAAACAGGUUAAUAUUCCUGUACUUGGUGUUACUGCGAAGGGGGGACGGAGAAGGCUAUGUUGGCCGGGCGACGGUUGUCCCGGUUUAAGCGUGUAGGCUGGUUUUCCAGGCAAAUCCGGAAAAUCAAGGCUGAGGCGUGAUGACGAGGCACUACGGUGCUGAAGCAACAAAUGCCCUGCUUCCAGGAAAAGCCUCUAAGCAUCAGGUAACAUCAAAUCGUACCCCAAACCGACACAGGUGGUCAGGUAGAGAAUACCAAGGCGCUUGAGAGAACUCGGGUGAAGGAACUAGGCAAAAUGGUGCCGUAACUUCGGGAGAAGGCACGCUGAUAUGUAGGUGAAGUCCCUCGCGGAUGGAGCUGAAAUCAGUCGAAGAUACCAGCUGGCUGCAACUGUUUAUUAAAAACACAGCACUGUGCAAACACGAAAGUGGACGUAUACGGUGUGACGCCUGCCCGGUGCCGGAAGGUUAAUUGAUGGGGUCAGCGCAAGCGAAGCUCUUGAUCGAAGCCCCGGUAAACGGCGGCCGUAACUAUAACGGUCCUAAGGUAGCGAAAUUCCUUGUC
Molecule: ribosomal RNA, 1513 nt
Filed under: human gut metagenome
Description: bacterial LSU rRNA
Rfam family: Bacterial large subunit ribosomal RNA
Source: RNAcentral